Molecule: unclassified non-coding RNA, 262 nt
Filed under: Hevea brasiliensis (rubber tree)
Lineage: Eukaryota; Viridiplantae; Streptophyta; Magnoliopsida; Malpighiales; Euphorbiaceae
Source: RNAcentral
GGAUUAUGUUCACCGAAUUGGAAGAACUGGUAGGGCUGGUGCAACUGGUGUUUCAUACACCUUUUUAUCUGAUCAGGACUGGAAAUAUGCUCCUGAUCUUGUUAAAGUUCUGGAAGGCGCAAAUCAGCAAGUACCGCCGGAUGUUAGGGAGAUGGCUUUACGUGCUGGUGGCAGGGAUAGAGGUGGCAUGAACCGUUCUGAUCUUGUCGAUGGUGAUGGUGGCCGCACACGUUGGGAUUCUGGUGGCCGUGGUGGGAUGAGG